CAAACUCUAGCCGCCGGCACCCUACCUCGUCGGCGACGGCGGCGGAUGCAUGAGGAGAAGGGGAGAUGGUGAUCAAUUUUUCUUUCUUUUUUCUUUUUAAUUUGUAAUUGGCCCGAGUGGGCUGGGUGUGGUUGGUUGAGUAGAGUAACUUUUUAUUUUUUAUUGGAUUGAGCUUUAGAUUUAGGCCUUAGUAGAAUUUUUUAAAAAUUUUGGUAUAAAUGGGACACUUAUAUAAAAGUGUCCCAAAGAUGUGUCCUUAUAAUCUAAUUCUGUUGUAGUGAGAAGGAAAAAAUAGUCUCGAUGCAUUA
Molecule: long non-coding RNA, 308 nt
Filed under: Ananas comosus (pineapple)
Lineage: Eukaryota; Viridiplantae; Streptophyta; Magnoliopsida; Poales; Bromeliaceae
Description: long non-coding RNA (ACOM_LNC033502)
Source: RNAcentral